RNAcentral lists this ribosomal RNA (253 nucleotides) under uncultured bacterium. RNAcentral describes it as "partial 16S ribosomal RNA". It matches the Rfam family "Bacterial small subunit ribosomal RNA", at positions 524 to 776 of the family's 1533-position model. The record is from RNAcentral.
UACGUAGGGACCAAGCGUUGUUCGGAAUUACUGGGCGUAAAGGGCUCGUAGGUGGCCAACUAAGUCAGACGUGAAAUCCCUCAGCUUAACUGGGGAACUGCGUCUGAUACUGGAUGGCUUGAGUUUGGGAGAGGGAUGCGGAAUUCCAGGUGUAGCGGUGAAAUGCGUAGAUAUCUGGAGGAACACCGGUGGCGAAGGCGGCAUCCUGGACCAACACUGACACUGAGGAGCGAAAGCCAGGGGAGCAAACGGG